This 493-nucleotide ribosomal RNA is filed under the name uncultured bacterium. RNAcentral describes it as "partial 16S ribosomal RNA". It matches the Rfam family "Bacterial small subunit ribosomal RNA", at positions 28 to 507 of the family's 1533-position model. The record is from RNAcentral.
GACGAACGCUGGCGGCGUGCUUAACACAUGCAAGUCGAACGGUGAAGGGACCGGUUUUUGCUGGUUCUGGAUGAGUGGCGAACGGGUGAGUAACACGUGAGUAACCUGCCCCCUUCUUCUGGAUAACCGCAUGAAAGUGUGGCUAAUACGGGAUAUUCUGCGCCUGCUGCAUGGUGGGUGUGGGAAAGAUAUUGUUUCGGUGGGGGAUGGGCUCGCGGCCUAUCAGCUUGUUGGUGGGGUGAUGGCCUACCAAGGCGGUGACGGGUAGCCGGCCUGAGAGGGUGGACGGUCACACUGGGGCUGAGACACGGCCCCGACUCCUACGGGAGGCAGCAGUGGGGAAUAUUGCACCAUGGGCGCAAGCCUGGUGCAGCGACGCCGCGUGAGGGAUGGAGGCCUUCGGGUUGUAAACCUCUUUCGCCAGUGAAGCAGGCCUGUCCCUUUUGUGGGUGGGUUGACGGUAGCUGGAUAAGAAGCGCCGGCUAACUACGUG